GAUGAACGCUAGCUACAGGCUUAACACAUGCAAGUCGAGGGGAAACGACAUCGAAAGCUUGCUUUUGAUGGGCGUCGACCGGCGCACGGGUGAGUAACGCGUAUCCAACCUGCCCAUCACUUGGGAAUAACCUUGCGAAAGUAAGACUAAUACCCAAUGAUAUCCCACGAAGGCAUCGGAAUGGGAUUAAAGAUUUAUCGGUGAUGGAUGGGGAUGCGUCUGAUUAGCUUGUUGGCGGGGUAACGGCCCACCAAGGCAACGAUCAGUAGGGGUUCUGAGAGGCAGGUCCCCCACAAUGGAACUGAGACACGGUCCAAACUCCUACGGGAGGCAGCAGUGAGGAAUAUUGGUCAAUGGGCGAGAGCCUGAACCAGCCAAGUAGCGUGCAGGAAGACGGCCCUAUGGGUUGUAAACUGCUUUUAUAAGGGAAUAAAGUGGGUCACGUGUGACUUUUUGCAUGUACCUUAUGAAUAAGGACCGGCUAAUUCCGUG
This 492-nucleotide ribosomal RNA is filed under the name uncultured bacterium. Its description in RNAcentral is "partial 16S ribosomal RNA". It matches the Rfam family "Bacterial small subunit ribosomal RNA", at positions 28 to 507 of the family's 1533-position model. The record is from RNAcentral.